Molecule: ribosomal RNA, 465 nt
Filed under: Vreelandella stevensii
Lineage: Bacteria; Pseudomonadati; Pseudomonadota; Gammaproteobacteria; Oceanospirillales; Halomonadaceae
Description: partial 16S ribosomal RNA
Rfam family: Bacterial small subunit ribosomal RNA
Source: RNAcentral
CCUACGGGUGGCAGCAGUGGGGAAUAUUGGACAAUGGGCGAAAGCCUGAUCCAGCCAUGCCGCGUGUGUGAAGAUGGCCUUCGGGUUGUAAAGCACUUUCAGUGGGGAAGAAAGCCUUGGGGCUAAUACCCUCGAGGAAGGACAUCACCCACAGAAGAAGCACCGGCUAACUCCGUGCCAGCAGCCGCGGUAAUACGGAGGGUGCGAGCGUUAAUCGGAAUUACUGGGCGUAAAGCGCGCGUAGGCGGUCUGAUAAGCCGGUUGUGAAAGCCCCGGGCUCAACCUGGGAACGGCAUCCGGAACUGUCAGGCUAGAGUGCAGGAGAGGAAGGUAGAAUUCCCGGUGUAGCGGUGAAAUGCGUAGAGAUCGGGAGGAAUACCAGUGGCGAAGGCGGCCUUCUGGACUGACACUGACGCUGAGGUGCGAAAGCGUGGGUAGCAAACAGGAUUAGAUACCCUUGUAGUC